Molecule: long non-coding RNA, 478 nt
Organism: Rhododendron vialii
Lineage: Eukaryota; Viridiplantae; Streptophyta; Magnoliopsida; Ericales; Ericaceae
Exons: 3
Source: RefSeq, a predicted model, not a curated record
GAACUUACUGCACAAUUUACAAUACAAUCCAGAGGGUUCUAGUUGGUGAUAUGUCUGCUGUGGACCUUGUUAAGACUGUAACCUUGUUUAGGUCACAGCGGAUGGGAAUGGUUCAAACAGCGGAGCAAUACCAGUUCUGCUACGAAGCUAUUGUUGAUGAACUUGAAGACCUCAUUUCAGAGUCCACAAGACAGGUGGUCAUAUAAAUCUCCAAUCCACACUUAAGGUGUCAUUACAGCUAUAUUAAUUUGCACUUUGUUGGUGAAGUUGUGGCUGCAAAAAUGGAAUAGUCCAGCCAUGUUUGGUCCAAAGUCAAGAUUGAGCUGUACUGCUUCCAUCAGGUUUCUUAACUUUCUUUAUUUCAGCUGUAAAAGUUGAACGAAGGAUGAUGUGAUAUUGUUUUCUUUAUUUCAGCUGUAAAAGUUGAACGAAGGAUGAUGUGAUAUUGUUUUAGCCGAACGAAGUUAUUUCACGUCCA